Long non-coding RNA from Bactrocera neohumeralis, 1167 nucleotides. RefSeq lists it as uncharacterized. The record is from RefSeq and is a predicted model, not a curated record. Lineage: Eukaryota; Metazoa; Arthropoda; Insecta; Diptera; Tephritidae. The transcript has 3 exons.
AGCGCAGCGGACGUCACCAAGGGUCAAUGCAAUAUGACGGUGGACAUCUUCGAGAUUGUCAGUUCGCAGGAUGUGAAUAGCCUGAAUUUAGGCCGACCGUUAACCUGCUGAUACCGCUUCCGUACGCUGAAAGGUGCACCGUGGGACUUUGUGUUGCAGUUGCGUUUUAAAAAAUUUAAAGUUGGCACACUGCUCAAUGCAACACAUUGUGAGGACGGCUAAUUACAGCUCAUCGUUCCAUCGAAUAUGACAUUCUCCGUGGCCAACGCGCAAAGGAUCAUAAGUCUUCCGCAGAACCUUUCUCUCAAAACUAGUUGCGUCGACUCAGCAGAUGUUGUCAUCGUCCAUGCCUCUGCAACAUAUGGCAGGACGGGAAUAAUUAGUGACUUAUAGAGUUUGGUAACAAAUAUAACUACGAAACUUUUAUUCUAGACAUAUAAAACACCAUACAGAGUCUCUAAUGGGCACCAUCAUAUUCAGGCAUAACAUAACUCGUUCACAGGCAGUACAAUAUAGCAGCAGCGGUCCGCUUACUGCAUCAUCAUUGACAAAUGGUGUCUGCAACAGAGUGGUCCUUACACAAACCAAAACCCCACUGCUGAUGUACAACCAUUGGACAUUCGCGCCACGCGACUGGCCGCUGCAUGACAAAGACGUAAUGCAAGCGAUUAUAGAUACUUACCUCCAUUUUUCGGUGUGUGAGGAGGUAAACUAUGCGAAGAUACAGCUGGCAGAGAUUAUCCAUUUUUGACGGCUUCACAACACGCUUUUGCCCGCGUGAUCAAGCAGGAAGUAUAAAUAUGACACAAUACAUAUUUAUUAACUGUUAUAUAAUGGUUACCUGUGCUUAUACAUUUUCUUCUUCUUUUCACUUCCUAUAUCUUUAUUUUAAAUGCCUUGUCCGAGUGUAUACGCAACAUAUAGCGGCAUAAAUUAAUGGCUGUUGCCGCUUUAUGGAGGCGCGAAUCACGCUGAUCCACUUACAUGCAUAUUUACAUCCAGAAUGAUAAUUAAUGGAACGACAGUACUUUAUGUGCAAUUGAGUUACAAUAUUUGCAUGUAGAGGUAGAAAAUUGCUGAAGAAAUAUACAAACGAUAUCUACUGAAAGGUUUUAAGUUUUAAAAUAGCAAAUGUUUUUGAAAUUUAAUGUUAAAGAUGAUUUAAUG